UGGGGAAUUUUGGACAAUGGGCGAAAGCCUGAUCCAGCCAUGCCGCGUGAGUGAAGAAGGCCUUCGGGUUGUAAAGCUCUUUUAGUCGGAAAGAAAGAGUUGCAAUGAAUAAUUGCGAUUUAUGACGGUACCGACAGAAAAAGCACCGGCUAACUACGUGCCAGCAGCCGCGGUAAUACGUAGAGUGCGAGCGUUAAUCGGAAUUACUGGGCGUAAAGGGUGCGCAGGCGGUCUUGCAAGUCAGAUGUGAAAGCCCCGGGCUUAACCUGGGAAUUGCGUUUGAAACUACAAGGCUAGAGUGCAGCAGAGGGGAGUGGAAUUCCAUGUGUAGCAGUGAAAUGCGUAGAGAUGUGGAAGAACACCGAUGGCGAAGGCAGCUCCCUGGGUUGACACUGACGCUCAUGCACGAAAGCGUGGGGAGCAAACA
Molecule: ribosomal RNA, 427 nt
Filed under: uncultured beta proteobacterium
Lineage: Bacteria; Pseudomonadati; Pseudomonadota; Betaproteobacteria
Description: bacterial SSU rRNA
Rfam family: Bacterial small subunit ribosomal RNA
Source: RNAcentral